GACGUAGGGGGCCAGCGUUGCUCGGAAUUACUGGGCGUAAAGGGUCCGUAGGCGGUGCGGUAAGUCGGGAGUGAAAUCUCUGGGCUUAACUCAGAGGCUGCUUCCGAAACUACCGUGCUAGAGUGCGAGAGAGGCAAGUGGAAUUGCGGGUGUAGCGGUGAAAUGCGUAGAUAUCCGCAGGAACAUCGAGGCGAAACGGCUGCUGGAUCGCAACUGACGUGAGGGACGAAAGCUAGGGGAGCAAACAGG
Molecule: ribosomal RNA, 249 nt
Filed under: uncultured bacterium
Lineage: Bacteria
Description: partial 16S ribosomal RNA
Rfam family: Bacterial small subunit ribosomal RNA
Source: RNAcentral